RNAcentral lists this ribosomal RNA (443 nucleotides) under uncultured bacterium. RNAcentral's name for it is "partial 16S ribosomal RNA". It matches the Rfam family "Bacterial small subunit ribosomal RNA", at positions 338 to 795 of the family's 1533-position model. The record is from RNAcentral.
CCUACGGGAGGCAGCAGUGGGGAAUAUUGGGCAAUGGGCGCAAGCCUGACCCAGCAACGCCGCGUGAAGGAAGAAGGCUUUCGGGUUGUAAACUUCUUUUGUCAGGGACGAAGCAAGUGACGGUACCUGACGAAUAAGCCACGGCUAACUACGUGCCAGCAGCCGCGGUAAUACGUAGGUGGCAAGCUGUAUCCGGAUGUAUUGGGUGUAAAGGGCGUGUAGGCGGGAAUGCAAUUUAGAUGUGAAAACUAUGGGCUCAACCCAUAGCCUGCAUUUGAAACUGUAUUUCUGGAGUGCUGGAGAGGCAAUCGGAAUUCCGUGUGUAGCGGUGAAAUGCGUAGAUAUACGGAGGAACACCAGUGGCGAGGGCGGAUUGCUGGACAGUAACUGACGCUGAGGCGCGAAAGCGUGGGGAGCAAACAGGAUUAGAUACCCCUGUAGUC